GUAGUCCACGCCCUAAACGAUGUCAACUAGUUGUUGGGGAUAGCUAUCCUUAGUAACGAAGCUAACGCAUGAAGUUGACCGCCUGGGGAGUACGGUCGCAAGAUUAAAACUCAAAGGAAUUGACGGGGACCCGCACAAGCGGUGGAUGAUGUGGAUUAAUUCGAUGCAACGCGAAAAACCUUACCUACCCUUGACAUGGACGGAAGUUGGCUGAGAAGCUAAUGUGCUUGAAAGAGAACCGUCGCACAGGUGCUGCAUGGCUGUCGUCAGCUCGUGUCGUGAGAUGUUGGGUUAAGUCCCGCAACGAGCGCAACCCUUGUCCUUAGUUGCUACGCAAGGGCACUCUAAGGAGACUGCCGGUGACAAACCGGA
Molecule: ribosomal RNA, 372 nt
Filed under: uncultured bacterium
Lineage: Bacteria
Description: bacterial SSU rRNA
Rfam family: Bacterial small subunit ribosomal RNA
Source: RNAcentral